This 199-nucleotide ribosomal RNA is filed under the name uncultured bacterium. RNAcentral describes it as "partial 16S ribosomal RNA". It matches the Rfam family "Bacterial small subunit ribosomal RNA", at positions 328 to 539 of the family's 1533-position model. The record is from RNAcentral.
ACGCUCGACACCUACGGGAGGCAGCAGUGGGGAAUAUUGCACAAUGGGGGAAACCCUGAUGCAGCGACGCCGCGUGAGCGAAGAAGUAUUUCGGUAUGUAAAGCUCUAUCAGCAGGGAAGAAACUGACGGUACCUGACUAAGAAGCACCGGCUAAAUACGUGGCAGCAGCCGGCGGUAAUCUGAGCGGGCUGGCAAGGC